UAAACUGUUGAUUGUUGACUCUGUCUGCCG
This 30-nucleotide non-coding RNA is filed under the name Rattus norvegicus (Norway rat). Lineage: Eukaryota; Metazoa; Chordata; Mammalia; Rodentia; Muridae. The record is from RNAcentral.